GCACGGUGGAUGCCUAGGCGAUCAGAUGCGAAGAAGGACGUGGAUAGCUGCGAAAAAGCUCCGGUUAGUCGCUAACAGACGUUUGACCCGGAGAUCUCCGAAUGGGGCAACCCGGCAGGGUUAUACCUGUCAGCCGGCUGGUGAAUCCAUAACCAGUCGGCAGCAAAAGUCAGGGAACUGAAACAUCUUAGUACCUGAACGAAAAGAAAUCAAAAGAGACUCCCCUAGUAGUGGCGAGCGAACGGGGACCAGCCUAAACCCACUGAGGUAAAACUCGGUGGGGGUCGUGGGGCCUGCGAUAUGGGAUUCUGGAAGUUAGACGAACGGUCUGGGAUGGCCGGCCAUAGAAGGUGACAGCCCUGUAAUCGAAAACCGAAGGAACCCUAGCGGGUACCCGAGUACCGCAGGACACGUGUAAUCCGGCGGGAAUCUGGGAGGACCAUCUCCCAAGGCUAAGUACUACUGAUCGACCGAUAGUGAACUAGUACCGCGAGGG
RNAcentral lists this ribosomal RNA (496 nucleotides) under uncultured bacterium. RNAcentral describes it as "bacterial LSU rRNA". It matches the Rfam family "Bacterial large subunit ribosomal RNA", at positions 19 to 509 of the family's 2925-position model. The record is from RNAcentral.